GAUGAACGCUGGCGGCGUGCCUAAUACAUGCAAGUCGAGCGAACAGACGAGGAGCUUGCUCCUCUGACGUUAGCGGCGGACGGGUGAGUAACACGUGGAUAACCUACCUAUAAGACUGGGAUAACUUCGGGAAACCGGAGCUAAUACCGGAUAAUAUAUUGAACCGCAUGGUUCAAUAGUGAAAGACGGUUGUGCUGUCACUUAUAGAUGGAUCCGCGCCGCAUUAGCUAGUUGGUAAGGUGACGGCUUACCAAGGCGACGAUGCGUAGCCGACCUGAGAGGGUGAUCGCACACCCUGGAACUGAGACACGGUCCAGACUCCUACGGGGGGCAGCAGUAGGGAAUCUUCCGCGAUGGGCGAGAGCCUGACGGAGCACCGCCGCGUGAGUGAUGAAGGUCUUCGGCUCGUAAAACUCUGUUAUUAGGAAAGAACAAAUGUGUAAGUACCUAUGCACGUCUUGACGGUACCUGAUCAGAAAGCCACGGCUAACUACGUG
RNAcentral lists this ribosomal RNA (497 nucleotides) under uncultured bacterium. Its description in RNAcentral is "partial 16S ribosomal RNA". It matches the Rfam family "Bacterial small subunit ribosomal RNA", at positions 28 to 507 of the family's 1533-position model. The record is from RNAcentral.